GACGGGAGCGGAGAGACACGGAAAAGGUCAAACUAAAGGCGAGCAGGAGAGGCGGCCGGAGUGGCGGGGGGCCCGGAGCGGGGCUCGAGCCGGCCGCCCCACGGCACUCGGGGCGUCCCCCGGCCAGACGGGCCGGGCCCGGCCCAGCCCCGCUCGCGGGAGGAGCCGGAGCCCCCAUCCCGUCACAGUCAUGCUUCCAGGAAAUCUAUGCUGAGUGACAAAUUCUCAUGUAGCGGAUGGAUUUGAAAAGAGACAACACUCCUGUUUAGUCCUAAUCUGUUCCAUUGCACUAUUUGCAAGGUGCUAUACUCGAGUAUUUAAGGUACCACAACUUCAAGGGCAUCCCGUGUGCUGAAUCACAUUCCUUCCAGCUCCCUCUGGUUGUCAGUGGACAAGCCCAGCUUGACAUUUUUCCAUAUCUUCCAUCGACUUCCAUCAGCAACACAACAAAGUACUCCUGCCCAUACUGUCAGCAUGCUAAUGUUAGUGGACCAUCCAGAUAUCUAGAAUCAUGCAGGAAAAGUUGUACAGCAGAAUGGUCUAGCGACUCAUAUCACCAUCCAGACUGAGGACAAUAAAUAUGAAUGUAAUGUGAGAAGUUGGUGACGGAGAAAAGUGUCCCAAAUGUGGCCUGGUUCCAAAGCCCCUACAGCAGGUUCUGUUUGCACCCACUGCAUUUUAAGGGUCCAACCAAAUUAAACAAUGUGCUUCUUCAGUCCUCCUCGUCCAUCAGGAAUGAAACAUCCCCUUCCUUCUCCCACCCCCAUACAGGAACUACAGCUUAUGACUCCUGGAAUCUUUUUCUGGUUAAACAUUUCAGUAACGUUCUUGGAACCUGCUAGUGUCCCCAUGCUCAAUAAUUUGUCUCAAGUUGGAGUUAUGUUUAUUUUUGAUGAUUGUGAUCAACAGCUGUGCUUUCUCUGCCUACAUGAGCUUUCAGCAAAUGAGGAAUCAAUGGUAUGAAAGGGGGAUUGGUUCCUGAACCAAGGUUUGAUGCACUAUUUUCACCACAAUAACCCAGUUUUUGGUAUUAAAUGAAUUAUAGAUGAUUAAUGUUGCAACAUCAAUGUAUUUACUGUACACUGUAUUUUGUAAACAGCAUUCAAAUAAACUUAAACUCGCAUAUGCUGCUCAGAAUACUAGCAACACAGGCUCAGAAAGCCAGUGAGAACGGCACAGAUGCUGAGCUUCAGCCAAUCAGGGUUCAAGUUUUCUGAUUGCUGAGCCUGGGCUCAGCCAAUCAAAAGUGGCAACCCUAAUUGGCAACAUGCUAACCUGCUGCCUCAAAGCCAAUCAGAAGCGACCCCUUACAGCUCCAUACCAGUACAACACAACCAGGAAGUUAUUUCAAGCAAACUUUAUGCAAAUCGAGCGUCGUGAGGGCGAAAGGGGCAGUCAAUUUAAAAGCUUCAGAAAUGGCAUCCGACGUAAGUUGGGUGUUGUAAGUCUGAGGACUCCCUGUAAUUAAUACUUGGCAUCAUGGCAAGCCUUUUGGAAACGGAUGACGGUUACUAAAAGCUGAUUUGAAAUAUAGUUUCAUAAUUCAGCAGUGGGAGAAUGAGAGCAAGAUGUAACAAGAAGGAAAAAAAUUAAUAGGUAUAAAAUAUUUUGAAGAUGUUCAGACUGAAGGGGUGGGGCUGUUCUAAUGUAUAGGUAAUUUUUUCCUAAAAUGACACACGCAAUACUAACAUUUAAAACUUACAUGCCACUAAUAUAGUGGUUCCUGUACUGUACACAAAUACUUUGUGCAAGGAUCACUGUUACAUCUUUAGAAAGCUGUUAGGAGCCACCAACAACUUGUCACCCUAACAAACUUUCCACUAUUUUAUUUACUUGUUUAUCCAUACACAAGUCACACAGAUAUUGUGUAACAUACCUUUAUUGCUGAGGUAUACGUUAUCUCAGGGGACAGAGCAUUAAUUUAACUUUAAUUUUAAAACCUCCAUCUUUUAGGAAAGAUCCAUGACUAGGGCUCGUAGGUGCUACGGUGCUACAAAUAAAUUAACAGGAAGGUUUUAUACAUAACACUUUUCUUCCACCAGUAUGAACCAGAAAUAAGCAGGGCUACACAACAGGAAGAAAAUGUAAAGAGAAGUUUAUCUGAUUCUUCUUGGAACGAUAUACACACUUUGAAGAGUCAUAGUAAACACUUGCAUUUGUUUAGAGUCUCAUAAUCUCCAAUUAGCUUCCAAACUGGUUUGUUUAAAAAAAAAAAAAAAAAUUCAGAAAAGCCUUUGUACAGAUUUGCUGAGAACACUUGAAUGCAUUUUGUGCAUGGGUUCACUCUGUGCGUGUGUAAAAUAAACUCUAUAACAAAUACCUUAUUUAAUGUAUAAAUUCUGGCUUUUCCAUAGUUUAUAUUUGAAUUAAGUGUGUGCAUUGACUACAGAAAACAAAGCAAACAAGUUUUCUAAAUAUAUGGUAAACUAGUGAAAUAUCAAGAAGGCAUAUGAACUUCUUUGUUUGAUGUCAUGUUUGUUGUUUUAGCACAUAGGACCCCCAGUCAUGGACCAGAACCCCCUUGUGCUUAGCACUUUACAGGCAGAACAAAAAGACAGUCCCUGCCCCCAGAGAGUUUGCUUGUGUUACCAAGAAGUGAACAGUUUUCCUUUGCCUAUAUAGAAUCAUAGAAAUGCAGGUCUUCCAGGGACGUCAAGUAGUCAUCUAGUUCAGACCCCUCCUUCCCUCUACACUGAUCUAGGAUUAAGUAUACCUAGACCUCAUAUAUGUACUAUGCAUAUAUUGUGAACUAGUUUUCUUACAUACAAGUCAUAAAAGCUGUCUUAUGCCAUUAAGUUAAAAAAGAGACUUUAAUUCAUUACAAAUUUUCCUUCCCGAAGCAUAACUACAUACUUAGAUUAGAUGUGUAUAUCUAAAAAUCUAUGGAAAUAAAUAUUGUCAUUUUUGAGCAAGCUAGUGUCUCUAGCUUGUUUCUCCCUUUCUGCUACCAUCUGUUUAAAAGAGCUGCCCUUAUGGUAGCUCUCACAGUGUCAGAGAUGACACUAUUUUGCUGAGUUGCUAAUGUAUCUUUGGCACCCCCAAUUUGUUCCUGUCUUCAAAAUGUCCUCCAAAGGCUGCAACACUCUGCAAACUCCAGCGAAUGGGCUGGGUGAUACAAGAGGUAUUGGGAUUGCUUAUGCCUAUCACAUUGUUCCUUUGCUGGUUCUACAGAGAUGCCUGCUCUUGAAACCUUGCUAUCAAGACUCGUGCUCUGUUUCAGUUGUAUAUGAGCGGAUGCUGUCACUACACGCUCACCGUCCUGGGUGCUUGUUGGCUUUGUUACCCAGCCAAGGAACUGUCAUGACUCUUGGUGUGUUUUGGUUUUGAUGGGCUAUUUCAAAACUGUUACAAGGGUGUUAAAUUGUGGUUUUGCCACUAACAGAAUUCCUGUGUUAGCACUUAAAUGUGGGGUGGGGGGAGUGAUACUUUUCAGUAAAUAUUUGGCGAUCACAUUAAUUUCACAAUAUUUGCUUCACAAGUCUUUAAUUGUGCUUUUCAUAGCACUUUAAUUGAAAAAAAUUUCUAAUAGGUCUGAAGGGGCUUAAACUGCUGCAUUUACAGGCAGUCCAGGGUCACAAAAGGUACUGGAGAGGGAGAUAUGCUUAUUCAGAGCAGCAUUGUUAAGUCUGUUGUCUAAGGUUCUGAUUUAAAAAAAAAAAAAUCCUUAUUCAGAGCAGCACAUAAGUGCCAUUGACUUAAGUGGUACUUAAGUACAUGUUCAAGUGCUGUCCUUGAAUAGGGAUCAUUUCCUGAGUUAGGAUCCUUAGACAAUAAGCAGCAAUUAACUUGAAAAUGUAAUUAAAGUGAUGCUGUUUUGUUGUCAAGAAACCCCUGUUGGGUUGGCAGUAAGGUAAGGGGAUGAGCCACUUGAUAAAUGACCAGAACCAGGUGUCUGAGGCCGUGCGACCUUUUUAGUGGCAGGCUAAACAUGUUCUCUAAUGUGUUUGGGGGAGAAGAAGAUUUAAUGGGAAAAUGGGCACUGCCUCUGACGAUGUUCUCACUUCGCUGUUUUUGCUAGCAUUUCAAAUCUAAAGGUACUCUGAAUUGUAAACUUUGUCGCUGCUCUCCCUGCCAAAAACCCUGUUUUGAGUAUAAUAAAAUAAUCUAAGAAUACAGUAUUUGUUGUCUCAUUCACCCACCCCUUCAUCCAGAUUUUUUUUAAAACCACUUUUCACAUUUACUGGCAGAUGUUUGUUCUACUUGCUUUCAAUGGUGUACUUUAAAACUUAAAUAAUAAAGGAUCAAAAUCUGGAUUUGU
Long non-coding RNA from Trachemys scripta elegans, 4258 nucleotides. RefSeq lists it as uncharacterized. The transcript has 8 exons. The record is from RefSeq and is a predicted model, not a curated record. Lineage: Eukaryota; Metazoa; Chordata; Testudines; Emydidae.